CUAAAUGGUGGGGUUCUUCUUUUUGUUCGUUGGUACCACAGUGACACUUAGUGGUUGAUUUGUGAAUUUGUUUUGUGGAGCGGUAGAGUUCUUCUUCGCGUGUUUUUGUGUUGGGCACUUCCUGUUUGCUAACUACGCCGAGUGAGCGUUAGAGCCUGAGGAAAAGACCAAAGAAAAUCUGUAAAAUAGCGCUCUUGGGAAGCAGAACGAGGUAGGAAUGUGCGCAAUUGUGUUUGUGAACAUUUAUGUUUAUUUAUACACCAUGUAUCUUUUGUUUAUACUGCAGUUUUCACGGUGUCAGACAAGGAAGGCUAAUAAUAAACUGCACCCGUUUGGAACUCCCUGCGUCUGGCUGUUCACUCCAAGAGGCCGCUACAGUGAAAACUCGCUGCAAGAGACCAGAUCUUUCUGCAGUGAAGCCGACACCAUUCUACCUGGAACCCAGCUGUCACCGCUUGCAUCGAUGAUGUCACACAGGCAAGAUAAAUGGACAAUUACAUGAACAAGCUCACAGCAUAACUGAAUUGGCAUAGUGUGUCAAAGGAUAAUUAAAAAGUCUUCGGUGAACCAAGGCAGUUGCAGGAAGCAAAUAAGAUGUCACUUCCAACAGAGAAAACGGAUCCUGUAGACAUGCCACUCAGGUCUAGCUCCAGAGAAAGAAAGCUAACAGAAAAAGGCCAAGAGAUGCACGUCCAAGACAACAAAAAACGUGAGAAAGCGUUUCAGAAGGCUUAUGAUUCUUGGAAGUGGGUAGCAAGAGAAACUAGGAAAAAACUAAAGGCCCUCUGUACAUUAGAAGACCUCAAUGAUUUACAAGAAAACAUUCAGGCAAAGUACGAUGCUGUAAGACUGCAGUACGAGCCCAUCCUACGUAACAGUAACACCACACCAGAGAUUGUCAAAAGGAUGGAGGCUUGUGUUACGCUCACAAAGGAAAUUUGUGACCUUAUAAACAAUCGUACAGAGACUAUUGAUAAAGAUUAUAAUAGUCAUCUUGAGAAAGAAAGAGUGAGAGAAACAUUAAACAAAGAUGAAUAUGGCUCUAUCUUUGGGCACACUCAAACUGAAACCGUAAGCUCAUCAAAAUCAUCAGAGAAUUCAAGCAGCCAUUCCAGCUCAUCUAGUACCAGUAACAGCAAAGCAGAUGCGCAAGCAGAGCUUGCUGCUAAAGUGGAGCAAUCAAAGGCCACCAAAGAAAUUCAAGCACAGCAAGCACAGCUCCAAAAAUUAGAAAACGAAUGGAAACUUAAAGAGUCAAAAAUGCUGUCAGAAAUUAAGCAAAAAGAAGUGGAAAUGCAACAGCAGCUGGAUCAGGAAAGAGCAAAACUGCAGCGGUUAAAAGAAGAAAAGGAAAUAGCUGUAGCAGCAGCUCGUGUGAGAGCAUAUGAUGAAUUUGAACGCAGUGAAAACAAUGUUGAAGAUACUAAUUACAGAACAAACCCUAUCUUCUUUAGAGAUAAACCCUGCUUGAGUCCAGAAGCUACAUCGUUCCAGCCUUACCAAUCGGCUCCGGAGGUGACAAUAAAUCCUGAGUCAUCCAAUCUAGCUGAAGCAAUCGCCAGCUCAUUAAGUAUAAGUCGCUUACCAGUCCCUGAACCUACUGUAUUCAGUGGGGAUCCUUUAAGGUUUACUGAUUGGAAAAUGUCAUUUAUGACUCUCAUUGACAGAAAGCCCCUCCCAGCUAGUGAGAAGAUGUUUUAUCUCAGAAAUUAUCUUGCUGGAGAAGCACGCAAAGCUGUUGAAGGUUUCUUUUACCGAGACUCAGAAAGUGCAUACAUUGGAGCUUGGAAAGUCUUACAGGACAGAUAUGGGAACGCGUUUAUUAUACAGAAGGCUUUUCGUGAUAAGCUUGCAAGAUGGCCAAAGAUUAAUGCAAAUGACUCACUUGCACUACGUGAAUUUUCUGACUUCCUCCAUGGUUGCAAGGAAGCAAUUCCACAUGUCAAGGGAUUAGCUAUCCUCAGUGACUGUGAAGAGAACCAUAAGUUGCUCAAAAAAUUACCUGAAUGGAUUGUUCGCAAGUGGAGUCGAAUAGUUGUGGAUGAACUUGAUGAAUCAGGUGAUUAUCCAGAUUUUAAAUGCUUCACAGAGUUUUUAAGCAAAGAGGCAAAAAUAGCCUGUAAUCCCAUUGCCUCACCCCUGAUAGGAAAUUUCAAGUUUGCAGACGACAGAACCCAAAAGAGAGCCAAGACUUUCAACACAAAUGCACAACAAAAGAGUUUCAGUCAUGGGAUACAAGAUACAAAUGACUGUAAAGCAAAAUCAUCUUGCUAUGUUUGUAAAAGUGAAGCCCAUGGCAUCACCAGAUGUCCCGCUUUCGCCUCAAAGAGUGUUGAAGACAAAAGGACAUUCAUACACGAAAAUCGGCUCUGCUUUGGAUGCCUGAGAAAAGGUCACGUGACCAAGGAAUGUAAGAGACGACACACAUGCAAUAUAUGCAGACGUCGUCAUCCAACCUGCUUACAUGAAGAGAGGAAGGAAAGAUCUGUGGAGACAACAACAAAUAGCUCCACUUCCACAGAAGAACAUGCAAACCAAGAAACACACAGAGUUGUGUCCCAUACAUUGACUCAGCAUGUUUCUGCCACUACCAGUAUUGUACCAGUACUUGUGUCUUCACUACAAGAGCCACACAGAGAAAUACUAACAUAUGCAAUGCUGGACACACAAAGUGACUCGACGUUUGUGUUAGAAGAUGUAAUUGACAGACUGAAUGUGGAUUUCCAUCCAACAAAGCUGAAACUGAGUACUAUGACUGCUGUCGACACAAUCAUUUCCAGCAAGAGUGUUCAUGGUCUACAAGUUCGAGGACUUAACUCUGAGAGUCGCAUCCAACUACAUCAAGCUUAUAGCAGAGAUUUUAUCCCAGUGGACAAGUCUUAUAUUCCGACGAAAGAAACUGCAUUAAUGUGGCCCCAUCUCAGAAACUUGGCAGAUAAGUUACCUCCCGUUCAGGACUGUGAUGUAGGGCUUCUCAUUGGAUACGACUGUCCAGCUGCUCUAGCUCCACUUGAAGUUAUAACAGGUGAUAAAAACCAACCAUUUGCACAGAGAUCAGAACUAGGAUGGAGUAUAAUAGGCUCAUCAAACCCCCACCUAGACAGACAAGGAGGUCAAAGUUUUGUGCAUCGACUCACAGUAAAGGAGCUACCAAGCCCGUCUUCAACUGACAUUUUAAAGGUCUUAGAGUCGGAUUUUACGGAGAGAAGUUACGAAGAAAAAUAUGUGUCCCGAGAUGAUGUUAAUUUUAUACAGUUUCUCAGUAACAACAUCACACAGAGGGAUGAUGGGCAUUAUGAAAUGCCUCUUCCGUUCAAAGGCAACGACCUGCCUAACCUACCAAACAACAAAAGACUAGCCCAAGUUCGCCUGCAGGGUCUUAAGAAAAAAUUAAAGACCAGCAAACAAUACUAUGAGCAAUACAAAACAUUCAUGGAAGAAACCAUAAAUAAGGGUGAUGCAGAGCCUGCCCCUACAACAUCUGAAGGAGAAACAGAGUGGUACCUUCCACAUCAUGGCAUCUACCAUCCCAGAAAACCAGAUAAGCUGAGAGUUGUUUUUGAUUGUUCAGCCAAAUUCCAUGGUGUUUCUCUUAACGACACAUUGCUUACUGGGCCUGAUUUAAUCAAUCCUUUGGUAGGGGUACUAUGUCGCUUCAGGAAGGAGACCAUAGCUAUAAUUUGUGACAUAGAAAGAAUGUUUCACCAAUUUUCUGUCACUCCUGAAUCCAGAAAUUAUCUCAAAUUCCUCUGGUGGAAAGGUGGAGAUUUGGAGAAAGAACCACAGGAGUUCAGAAUGACAGUUCAUCUCUUUGGAGCUGCUUCAUCUCCAGGAUGUGCCAACUUUGGGUUAAAGCAUCUGGCACAGCAACACAAGGCUAACUAUCCUCAGGCAGCCACAUUUAUUGAGAAAAACUUUUAUGUGGAUGAUGGCUUAGUCAGUGUGCCAUCAGUUGAGGAAGCCAAGAAACUGAUCAUUGAAUCACAAGAGUUGUGUAAGAAAGGAGGCUUAAGGCUUCAUAAAUUCAACUCAAACAAGGAAGCCGCUCUCACAUGCUUGGAUUCUUCAGAAGUAGCAGCAGCCAUCGAGCCCCAUGGUUUGGAUCCAUCCUCAUCUGAGCGUGCACUCGGGAUUCAGUGGUUGAUAAAAAAUGACACCUUUGUUUUUAACAUCGGCUUAAAAGAUCAAGCUUCAACCCGCCGCAGCUGCUUGUCCAUCAUUGCUUCACUUUAUGACCCUCUCGGAUUCAUUGCUCCAUUCAGCCUUAGUGGAAAACUGAUUCUUCAAGAGCUUUGUCACCGAGGCAUAGGAUGGGACGAUCCUCUCCCAGAAGACAUAAAGCCACGGUGGGAGAAAUGGACAAAUGAUCUACUGAAAUUGAAAGAGAUCUCAAUUCCCAGAUGUUAUCACCCCCCUGACUUCCACAACAUUGUCAGAGUAGAGCUGCACCAUUUUUCUGAUGCUAGCUGUGUAGGAUAUGGUGCAUGUUCUUACCUGAGAUACAUAAAUGACAAGGAUGAAGUUCACUGCAGUCUUGUGAUAGCAAAGGCAAGGGUUGCUCCCUCAAAGAUCACAAGUAUCCCAAGAUUAGAACUUGCAGCAGCAGUGAUUUCUACAAAGGUCAGUGUCAUGCUUAGAUGUGAACUUGACCUAAAGAUUGAUCAAGAAUUUUUCUGGACUGACUCACGAGUUGUACUAGGGUACAUCAAUAAUGAGGCUCGCAGGUUCCACAUAUUUGUUGCCAACCGUGUUCAACUGAUUAGAGAUAACAGUGAUCCUAAUCAGUGGCAUUAUGUUGAAACGUCAGAAAACCCGGCUGAUCAUGCAUCCAGAGGUCUUUGUGCUUCAGAUAUUCAUUCGACAAACUGGCUGCAAGGACCAAGGUUUCUUUGGGAGCAUGAGUUACAACUGACGACCAGCACUCCAACGGAAUUACUAGUCGGUGAUCCUGAAGUCAAGACAAUUCAGGUGCUCGCAACUGAUGUCAAAUGUAGUAAUGACAUCCUCAAUCGCCUGAAUCGAUUCUCCUCUUGGACAACACUCCUCAAGGUAGUUGCAAGAAUCAAGAGACUAGGUUCAAAGCAACAACAUGGCGAACAUGUGACUGUUGACGAACGUGAAAAGGCUGCUGAAACAGUGAUUAAGAUUGUGCAACAACAAACCUUCCCAAAUGAAGUAAAAUUGCUUAAAGGUGAAAAGAACAUUCCAAACACCAGCGCUCUUUUCAGUUGUGAUCCCAUCUGGUCUGAAGGGCUUCUUCAUGUCGGUGGAAGAUUAAAGCAGUCAUCUCUCUGUCUUAAAGUCAAACACCCAGUGAUACUACCCAACAACAGUCAUAUUACUAAGCUGAUUGUGUCCCACUACCAUGCUAAGACAUGUCAUCAGGGUCGAGGCCAGACACAAAUGGAACUUAGAACCAAUGGCUUCUGGGUCAUUGGUGGGAGUAAGUUGGUGGCCAAGAUGAUACGCGAUUGUGUGUUUUGCAGAAAACUUAGGCGGCCAACAGAAAAGCAGAGAAUGGCUGACCUUCCUAAAGAACGCGUCGAAUCCUCUGCACCUUUCACAUAUAGCGGCAUGGACUGUUUUGGCCCUUUCAUUGUGAAGAAAGCCCGCAAAGAAUACAAAAGAUAUGGUCUAAUUUUCACAUGUCUCUACUCUAGAGCUGUCCAUAUCGAAAUGCUCGAAGACCUGUCGACUGACUCUUUCAUAAAUGCACUGAGAUGCUUUAUCAGCAUUAGAGGAGCUGUAAGACAACUGCACUGUGAUCAAGGCUCUAAUUUUGUUGGUGCCAGGAACGAGUUCACACAAGCACUGAAACAAUGUGACACUAAGUUACUUGAAGUUUUCUUGACGGACAAACAGUGUGAAUUUGUUUUCAAUUCCCCCUCUGCCAGUCAUGCAGGUGGUAUCUGGGAAAGACAGAUCAGAACCAUCAGAAAUGUGUUGAAUGCUACUUUUGCACAGUGCUCAGGCCGACUUGAUGACGCCUCCCUCAGGACAUUGUUAUAUGAGGCAAUGGCUAUUGUAAACAGCCGCCCAUUAACAGUGGAUGGAAUCAAUGAUCCGCGAGCAUUAGAGCCCAUAACACCGAACCAUCUCAUUAUGAUGAAAUCUAAGGUUUCUCUUCCUCCCCCUGGAGUGUUUGUCAAAGAGGACCUAUAUGCCACAAAGAGGUGGAGGAGAGUGCAGUAUCUCAUUGAACAAUUUUGGAGUCGCUGGAAAAGGGAAUAUUUGUUGAACAUUUCCAUGAGACAGAAAUGGCACUCGGCUCAGCGUAACCUCAAGAAAGGGGACAUUGUCAUUAUCAAAGACGACAACCUUCCAAGAAAUCAGUGGCAACUAGGACGAGUGGUUGAAACUGUUCAAGGCGAUGAUGGAUUGGUCCGUCGAGUCAAAGUUCAAGUCGGAGAGCGAAAGUCCAAUUCCUCUUCCAAACUCUCAAUUAUUGAGAGACCAAUCCAGAAAUUGGUUCUUCUUUUGGAAAAUGAUGAGAAGUGAUAAACAACCUUUGUACAGUUUAUUCACCAUGUUAUUCUUUUCUGCAGAAAUGCUCAUUUAGUAGAGUCAAGAAAUCCUGUUCAAUUACUUUCCUCAUGUCUUCUUAUGUUCAUUUAUUGAGACAGGAUUUGGUGGGAGUGUAAAUAGCUACUAAAUGGUGGGGUUCUUCUUUUUGUUCGUUGGUACCACAGUGACACUUAGUGGUUGAUUUGUGAAUUUGUUUUGUGGAGCGGUAGAGUUCUUCUUCGCGUGUUUUUGUGUUGGGCACUUCCUGUUUGCUAACUACGCCGAGUGAGCGUUAGAGCCUGAGGAAAAGACCAAAGAAAAUCUGUAAAAUAGCGCUCUUGGGAAGCAGAACGAGUUUUCACGGUGUCAGACAAGGAAGGCUAAUAAUAAACUGCACCCGUUUGGAACUCCCUGCGUCUGGCUGUUCACUCCAAGAGGCCGCUACACAGACAUCCGACUACAGCUUAAAUCAGACAAAACUAAUUUGCAUGUAACAUUCUAGCAAGAUAAAGGAGCUGCUUUUAAGUCAAUAAAUCAAUAAUAUUGAUUAAAUAAAAAUACUAACAGCUUUUGGAAUGAAAAAGUUUGGAAACCUCUGAGCAAAAAAGACAAGAUGCCAAUGUUAUUAUAUUAUAUAAUUCACAUGUUAUUAUAUUAUUAUUAUUUAUAAAUGCCAAUAAGACCAGAAAUACUUU
RNA transcript from Xiphophorus maculatus (southern platyfish), 7199 nucleotides. RefSeq lists it as uncharacterized. The transcript has 2 exons. The record is from RefSeq and is a predicted model, not a curated record. Lineage: Eukaryota; Metazoa; Chordata; Actinopteri; Cyprinodontiformes; Poeciliidae.